This 600-nucleotide ribosomal RNA is filed under the name uncultured bacterium. RNAcentral describes it as "bacterial SSU rRNA". It matches the Rfam family "Bacterial small subunit ribosomal RNA", at positions 94 to 698 of the family's 1533-position model. The record is from RNAcentral.
UAGUGCGAACGGUGAGUAUACAUCGGANCCCGUGUUAUUGGGGAAUACGUACGAAGUUAGCUAUACCGCAUACAAUCACGGAUGACAGGGGACCUCGGGCCUGUGCUAUAGACGGCGAUGUCUGAUUACUAUUUGGUGAGGUAAAGGGUCACCAGGGAGAUCAGUACGGGUCUGAGAGGAUGAUCCGCCACACUGGACUGAGACACGGGCCAGACUCCUACGGGAGGCAGCAGUGGGGAAUUUUGGACAAUGGGCGCAAGCCUGAUCCAGCCAUGCCGCGUGUCUGAAGAAAGCUCCGGGUUGUAAGGACUUUUGUCAGGGAGCAAAACUUACUGGUUAUACCCGGUGAGGCUGAGAGUACUGAAGAAUAAGCACCGGUAACUAUGUGCCACAGCCGGGUAUACGUAGGUGCAGCGUUAUCGGAAUUACUGGGCGUAAAGCGUGCGCAGGCGGACUUUUAAGCCAGAUGUGAAAGCCCCCGGAAGGCUUUAACUUUGGGAAAUUGGCGUUUGGGAACUUGGGGGAGUUCCUAAAGUUCUUGUCCAGAGGGGGGGAUGGAAUUUCCCACGGUUGUUAGCAGUUGAAAUUGCGUUAAAAAUU